Molecule: long non-coding RNA, 461 nt
Filed under: Mytilus galloprovincialis (Mediterranean mussel)
Lineage: Eukaryota; Metazoa; Mollusca; Bivalvia; Mytilida; Mytilidae
Source: RNAcentral
GUUUAAAUUAUCAAAAAAUACUUUUUCAUCGACAUAGGAACAUAAAAAAUAUUGAAGAUAAUACAAUACAUCGUUGUUUAAUAAGAUAACAUUACAAAAAAGUGUCAAAAAAUAGUUCUUCGGCGUCAUACAAUCGUAUUUAAGCGCCAAAGAAUCGUACUUGAGCUGAUUCGUCAUCCAAUAGUCCAUAAGCGUCAAACUAGAUUGACACCGCUGUUUCAAUAUACCUAAUUGCUAUUAAUCUUUUUUUUAUAGGUCUGUGUAAAGUUUUGAAGUCUAUCAUAAAAUUGUAGAUUACUGACUGUUUACCGGAAGUCAAAUUCGAGGGCUGGAUAUGGAUUUUGAGGGCUGAUAUCGAUAGGGCCCCGGAGGCAAACAACCAACCGUGACUUUCAGCUAUAAUUGGCUAUGCAAAAAACGUACAUAUAAGUACAAAUGUGUGAUAAAUGUGGGUUAUUAAG